UUGGCAUUUUCCAUUGCAAGUUUCUCAAGAAGCUUGCCAAGCCAAACCCUCCAUAAUGUGACUGGAAUUGUUUUAAAGCUAUGUAACUGUCUUGGGCAGCAACGAAGAACCAGUGCUUUGCCUGGUCUCGCAAAAAUACUUGAAGAGAGCUUCUUUUCCAGCUAUGAACUCUUGGGUAUGCCCCAAGAGUUACGAUUACUCCGUUGAGCAGUGCUCCGGGUAACGAAAAAACUUAGUCGCCACUACAAAGCUUAGCGCUGAUCCUCGGAUCAGCUGCUGCCCCUACAAAACCUUUCACUUACUAGGGGCAUCCUUGGUCUGUUCAACAGUCCAAGAAGAAGCUUUGUAGUGAGCUGAAGAAAGGUAUUGGUUCAUUCAAAGUAGAUCCAUUAAGUAGAAGAAGUUGUGCUAUACGCGAUCCCCUCGACCAGAAGUCAGAGAGAGCCCUGGAAGAAUUCCCGGGCGAUGAUCUCGUAAACAGAAGCUCAGAGCCGUUAGGUGAUGACGAGCAGUACCAUUCGUGGGAAGACAAAAUCGCGAGUCUGAUAUUGGGGAUUGUCAGAUGAUGACCGAAAAUCAAGACUCAGAAGUUUAUCAUUGAAGAAAACGAUGUUGAGCAACCCGAGUCAAUCGAGCGAUAGUAACAACAUCUUCAAAAACUGGCUCUAACUUGAAAGGAUCAUAUAUACUGCCCGAAUGUGGGAAGGAUGAGGUCAAUCCUCAAGGUCAUUUGAAAUGAUUCGUUUUUUAAAAAAUAGACGUGGGAAUUUUCCGAAAUUUGUGAAUGAUUUUAGUUCGUAGUUCACAAAGGUAAACUUAUAGUUAAAUUAGUACUUAAAAUUAAUAUCUUUAAUCAAAACAUGUACAAAAACUUAGCUUAAAAACUAUCCUGGUAGGGCCACCGGUCACCAUAUAGCGUCAUCCUUCAAUGUAGUCCGUCUUGUAUACCUAAAAGCAAAUACAAAGCAUUAAAAUCCAAUAAUCAUCUUAUUAAUAGUUGGAGCGAUACUUGCCUAAAACUUGAUCCUCCCAGAACAUCUCCAUCCAACCGACAAAGGCUUCUUCAAAGGCAGGUCGUCCAUUCAGGCUUCCGUCCAGUCCUGCGAGGGUCCAGUUCGCCGUGCCUCGGCUUGCCUCCGUCAUUCGUCGACUCGUUUUCCGCCGUAGUCGAAUCUAAACCACAAUAUAAAGAAAAUAAACCAUUACUUACAGUUUUGUAGAUACUUUCUCAAGUUUUUCUAAUAGUUUAGGCCAUUUUCCGUCCGUAUUUUGCUGCAAAAUUACCUAAAAACUUUCACAAAUUUUCGUCGCACUGCACUUUUCAAUGUUUACAUUUUACUUUGACGUUUCUCUGAGUAAGUGGGUGUUUCAGUAUAUGAGUGUCGUGAGUGUCCGAAGAGAAUUUUCUCUGAGUGACGUAAUAGAGUUGGUCUUGUGUAUUUCUCAUUUAUUAAUUUUUCGUGAGAGCCGGGGUAGAGCAUCGGCAUUUGGAGCAUUUUUGAAUGUUUGUUUGGGAGAAUUGUGGGGAGAAUUCACGUUUUAUACACGUCUAUUGACGAGAGCCGGGGUGUACUCUGGUGUGUCAAUACAUGUUGUGUGUAAAUUAUUGUGGUUGUAUUGCGUUUUAUCAUACACAGAGGCGCAAAUCCAAGUAACAGGCUUGGAGGGUUUCUGUGAGAUGAAACAGUUGCGGAGAAUUCAGAUGCGGAGCGUAGUACCAGCGAUGAGGAUUGGUGUGCUUCGAGUCUGGAUGAUCCUGUUUAUUGAUGUUAUGUGCGGUUGUAUCGGAGAGAGGCAGUUAAUCGACAGCAAGGUUCGAUGUAUGUUUCUCUCCAUGUGUACCUGUUAUAUGUAAGUUUACGUUCAUUGAGAUGUUCGAGAAACUAUCUCAAUGGUGUGUUGUUAUGGUUGGCUUCUGCUGAGACUGUGAGGUGUCUGCAGUAAUGCCGUUUUAAGAUUUGUUAUGGUUUGAGAAUUUGUUGGUGUCUGUACUCACACUUGCUCAGAGAACGUUGAAUGGCUCGUAGAAAUCUUCUUUGGGAUGAACCUAUAUUUUGUAAAUAUUUUUGUAUGAUGUAUAGAGUAAUAAUUUUUGAAAUAUUUUGAAUGUGAUAUAUGUUGAAUAGGUUAGGAACCCGGAUAAAUAUUGAAAUUAUGAAAAUAAACUAAACUUAUAAGGGAUUGAAGUAACAAGAAAAAAUGAAUUUGUACAUAAUAUUCACAUUGCAAAAUUUACCACUACGAAAAUUUGGUUUAAGUGCUUAAACCAAAUUUUCGUAAAAUAGCCCUGGUGCAAUGUAGCGGUCAGGAGAAUUUGUAUAUAUUUUUGUAAGAUAAGUCUGUAAAUAUUCGAAAUAAGAUAGAUUGUAAGGAAAUGCGAUCUAUCUAUGAUAAUUUGAAUUUGUAAAUAUCCCUUAGUUUAGGCAAACGAAAAGACAUCAAUUAACAAACGCUUCCCGAGGUCGAGGCCAUUUGUUUUCUGGAUAAGGUGGGAAAGGGAAAGCAGCACGACUAUCGGUCAAGUUAUCCGCAUAGCGGUGUAGUCACGAUUGAACACGAAGGGUUUCGGGAAAUGACGUACUUCCGGGUACGUCCGAGAUUCACUUUCCCUUAUCUGAGGCUUCUUAGACUCGCUCAUUUCGUCCGUGAUAACGCAAAGAGUUGGAAGUGUCCGCGUUUGUGAGUUAGUCUUUCGUGUACCAAAAGUAGGUUUAAGUGAUGUUAAAUGUAGUUAAACAGUUUAAUCUGGUGUUUCGUUCCAUAGUAGGUCAGGAAAAGUGUGCGUAAGAACUGUGUGCGAUUGAGAACAAUUAGAAAGCUCAAGAUAAGCUCGGGCUUCAAUCUUCAAUCCGCAGAUCUUCGCGCCAAGCGCGAUCACUUUCUUCCCCAACGGACGAGAGAUACCCGGCAACCGCUAAUCAGCCGGACGCGGACGGAUUCGUCAACACAUCGGUCCGAGAAGGCCCGGGGACCUUCAGGUGGACGAAGUCCACGAGCUGGUUCGCCAACUGAUCAGCAGGGCGUCAUCAACUACCCAGAAACCACCAUUGUGAAGAUCACGUCAAUCGCCAUCGCGAUCACGUGGAUACGAGCCGAUCAACGACCAACGACCGCCAUCAAUCAGCCAAGUCGCCGGUGAGUCAACGACCCGGCCUGCAGGUCAUCGACUGCGAAGGUGUGUAAGCAGAACCGAUCGGUGAGUCCAUCAUUCUUUUUUUUGUUGGGAAGUGCGGUGUCCGCUGAGGGCACCGCGGAGGAUCUUUUUUGCCAGUCAAAAGACUGAGUAUGAAGUGCUGAAAAGCCAAAACAACACCUCUUUUCGGAGAUCGGAUUUCCUUCCGACAGCGUCUUGGGGGACCAACGUCUUGGCCCCGUGAAAAUGCGUGCGUGAGCCCGUCUUCGCCACCACUGCAGGGAAGCUUCGUCACCAGGAGCGCAGACAAAUACGAAGCUGAGCUUCCAGCAAAUGUGACGUCACGAUACAGAGCACUGAGCACAGUUAGGAAGAGAGAGGGAGUGGCUAGGGAAAUCGCACACAUGCUAGGAGGUAGAAGAUAGAGAACGAACACAAAUACGAAUAAUGAAUUCGAAUUGAUGUAUACCCGUGAACAUGUAUGUCAUCUUAGGAAAUAAGUCAAUAUAGUCAUAUAAGCCAAUAUAUUCGUAUCCGUCUUAUUAGUAUCUGGAAUAAAUGUGUUUGAGUUUCCUUCCUAGCAAUUUGGUUGUUUAAAUGUAUUUAACAUCACUGCGCGUUUUGUUGUAGCUUCGUUUCGUUUGAUUGGGUUGUUUUAUGAGUGUCUUCCAGCUCAGUGAGGGAUCUGGUGGCGAGAAGAGAGAGUUCGCCAAUGAUGAGAACUU
Long non-coding RNA from Aedes albopictus (Asian tiger mosquito), 3858 nucleotides. RefSeq lists it as uncharacterized. The transcript is spliced from 2 exons. The record is from RefSeq and is a predicted model, not a curated record. NCBI's taxonomy places the organism in Eukaryota, Metazoa, Arthropoda, Insecta, Diptera, Culicidae.